GGUUAAGCGACUAAGCGUACACGGUGGAUGCCCUGGCAGUCAGAGGCGAUGAAGGACGUGCUAAUCUGCGAAAAGCGUCGGUAAGGUGAUAUGAACCGUUACAGCCGGCGAUGUCCGAAUGGGGAAACCCAGUGCAAUUCGUUGCACUAUCGUUAACUGAAUACAUAGGUUAACGAGGCGAACCGGGGGAACUGAAACAUCUAAGUACCCCGAGGAAAAGAAAUCAACCGAGAUUCCCCCAGUAGCGGCGAGCGAACGGGGAGCAGCCCAGAGUCUGAAUCAGCUUGUGUGUUAGUGGAACGGUCUGGAAAGUCCGACGGUACAGGGUGAUAGUCCCGUACACCAAAAUGCACAGGCUGUGAACUCGAAGAGUAGGGCGGGACACGUGGUAUCCUGUCUGAAUAUGGGGGGACCAUCCUCCAAGGCUAAAUACUCCUGACUGACCGAUAGUGAACCAGUACCGUGAGGGAAAGGCGAAAAGAACCCCGGCGAGGGGAGUGAAAAAGAACCUGAAACCGUGUACGUACAAGCAGUGGGAGCACCUUCGGGUGUGACUGCGUACCUUUUGUAUAAUGGGUCAGCGACUUAUAUUCUGUAGCAAGGUUAACCGUAUAGGGGAGCCGCAGGGAAACCGAGUCUUAACUGGGCGUUAAGUUGCAGGGUAUAGACCCGAAACCCGGUGAUCUAGCCAUGGGCAGGUUGAAGGUUGGGUAACACUAACUGGAGGACCGAACCGACUAAUGUUGAAAAAUUAGCGGAUGACUUGUGGCUGGGGGUGAAAGGCCAAUCAAACCGGGAGAUAGCUGGUUCUCCCCGAAAGCUAUUUAGGUAGCGCCUCGUGAACUCAUCUUCGGGGGUAGAGCACUGUUUCGGCUAGGGGGUCAUCCCGACUUACCAACCCGAUGCAAACUACGAAUACCGAAGAAUGUUAUCACGGGAGACACACGGCGGGUGCUAACGUCCGUCGUGAAGAGGGAAACAACCCAGACCGCCAGCUAAGGUCCCAAAGUCACAGUUAAGUGGGAAACGAUGUGGGAAGGCACAGACAGCCAGGAUGUUGGCUUAGAAGCAGCCAUCAUUUAAAGAAAGCGUAAUAGCUCACUGGUCGAGUCGGCCUGCGCGGAAGAUGUAACGGGGCUAAACUGUGCACCGAAGCUGCGGCAGCGACACUAUGUGUUGUUGGGUAGGGGAGCGUUCUGUAAGCCUGCGAAGGUGGCCUGUGAGGGUUGCUGGAGGUAUCAGAAGUGCGAAUGCUGACAUAAGUAACGAUAAUGCGGGUGAAAAGCCCGCACGCCGGAAGACCAAGGGUUCCUGUCCAACGUUAAUCGGGGCAGGGUGAGUCGACCCCUAAGGCGAGGCCGAAAGGCGUAGUCGAUGGGAAACAGGUUAAUAUUCCUGUACUUGGUGUUACUGCGAAGGGGGGACGGAGAAGGCUAUGUUAGCCGGGCGACGGUUGUCCCGGUUUAAGCAUGUAGGCGGAGGUUCCAGGUAAAUCCGGUACCUUUUAACGCUGAGGUGUGAUGACGAGGCACUACGGUGCUGAAGUAACAAAUGCCCUGCUUCCAGGAAAAGCCUCUAAGCAUCAGGUAACAUUGAAUCGUACCCCAAACCGACACAGGUGGUCAGGUAGAGAAUACCAAGGCGCUUGAGAGAACUCGGGUGAAGGAACUAGGCAAAAUGGUGCCGUAACUUCGGGAGAAGGCACGCUGAUAUGUAGGUGAAGCCCCUGCGGGUGGAGCUGAAAUCAGUCGAAGAUACCAGCUGGCUGCAACUGUUUAUUAAAAACACAGCACUGUGCAAACACGAAAGUGGACGUAUACGGUGUGACGCCUGCCCGGUGCCGGAAGGUUAAUUGAUGGGGUUAUCCGUAAGGAGAAGCUCUUGAUCGAAGCCCCGGUAAACGGCGGCCGUAACUAUAACGGUCCUAAGGUAGCGAAAUUCCUUGUCGGGUAAGUUCCGACCUGCACGAAUGGCGUAAUGAUGGCCAGGCUGUCUCCACCCGAGACUCAGUGAAAUUGAACUCGCUGUGAAGAUGCAGUGUACCCGCGGCAAGACGGAAAGACCCCGUGAACCUUUACUAUAGCUUGACACUGAACAUUGAGCCUUGAUGUGUAGGAUAGGUGGGAGGCUUUGAAGCGUGGACGCCAGUCUGCGUGGAGCCAACCUUGAAAUACCACCCUUUAAUGUUUGAUGUUCUAACGUUGGCCCCUUAUCGGGGUUGCGGACAGUGUCUGGUGGGUAGUUUGACUGGGGCGGUCUCCUCCCAAAGAGUAACGGAGGAGCACGAAGGUUAGCUAAUCCUGGUCGGACAUCAGGAGGUUAGUGCAAUGGCAUAAGCUAGCUUGACUGCGAGCGUGACGGCGCGAGCAGGUGCGAAAGCAGGUCAUAGUGAUCCGGUGGUUCUGAAUGGAAGGGCCAUCGCUCAACGGAUAAAAGGUACUCCGGGGAUAACAGGCUGAUACCGCCCAAGAGUUCAUAUCGACGGCGGUGUUUGGCACCUCGAUGUCGGCUCAUCACAUCCUGGGGCUGAAGUAGGUCCCAAGGGUAUGGCUGUUCGCCAUUUAAAGUGGUACGCGAGCUGGGUUUAGAACGUCGUGAGACAGUUCGGUCCCUAUCUGCCGUGGGCGCUGGAGAAUUGAGGGGGGCUGCUCCUAGUACGAGAGGACCGGAGUGGACGCAUCACUGGUGUUCGGGUUGUCAUGCCAAUGGCAUUGCCCGGUAGCUAAAUGCGGAAGAGAUAAGUGCUGAAAGCAUCUAAGCACGAAACUUGCCCCGAGAUGAGUUCUCCCUGAGACUUUAAGUCUCCUGAAGGAACGUUAAAGACGAUGACGUUGAUAGGUCGGGUGUGUAAGCGUAGCGAUACGUUGAGCUAACCGAUACUAAUGAACCGUGAGGCUUAACCUU
Molecule: ribosomal RNA, 2904 nt
Filed under: Klebsiella aerogenes
Lineage: Bacteria; Pseudomonadati; Pseudomonadota; Gammaproteobacteria; Enterobacterales; Enterobacteriaceae
Description: 23S ribosomal RNA
Rfam family: Bacterial large subunit ribosomal RNA
Source: RNAcentral